This 167-nucleotide ribosomal RNA is filed under the name Corythoichthys flavofasciatus (network pipefish). Its description in RNAcentral is "partial small subunit ribosomal RNA". Lineage: Eukaryota; Metazoa; Chordata; Actinopteri; Syngnathiformes; Syngnathidae. The record is from RNAcentral.
CACCGCGGUUAUACGAGAGGCCCAAGAUGACAGGCCCCGGCGUAAAGGGUGGUUAAGACGAUAUUUCACUAAAGCCAAACACCCCUCCUGCUGUAAUACACACAUAGGGGUAGGAAGCCCAUCUACGAAAGUUGCUUUAAACCUCUGACGCCACGAAAGCUAGGGAA